GCCUUUCUCGGGUGCUCGCCAGUACAGUCUUACUUCUUGAGCCGAUAAUUAACUGACAGGGGGUCUUCCUGUUGUCGUUGUUGUGCAUGUCUGCCUUGUAGCAGAAAGCCUGAUACGGCACAUCGACUCCCACUUGAACUUUACGGUUCAAGGGAAACGCUGUACAGCGGCACUUUUGAGGGCGCCA
Molecule: non-coding RNA, 187 nt
Filed under: Gammaproteobacteria bacterium
Lineage: Bacteria; Pseudomonadati; Pseudomonadota; Gammaproteobacteria
Description: 6S RNA
Rfam family: 6S / SsrS RNA
About the family: E. coli 6S RNA was the first non coding RNA to be sequenced, but its function was unknown until recently. It consists of 184 nucleotides that fold into an extended hairpin structure with a large single-stranded internal bulge. The 6S RNA specifically associates with RNA polymerase holoenzyme containing the sigma70 specificity factor.
Source: RNAcentral